CGCGUAGGCGGUCUUGUAAGUCAGAUGUGAAAGCCCGGGGCUUAACCCCGGAAGGGCAUUUGAUACUGCGAGACUUGAGUAUGGGAGGGGGAAGUGGAAUUCCUGGUGUAGAGGUGAAAUUCGUAGAUAUCAGGAGGAACACCAGUGGCGAAGGCGACUUCCUGGACCAAUACUGACGCUGAUGCACGAAGGCGUGGGGAGCAAACA
This 207-nucleotide ribosomal RNA is filed under the name uncultured delta proteobacterium. Its description in RNAcentral is "partial 16S ribosomal RNA". It matches the Rfam family "Bacterial small subunit ribosomal RNA", at positions 568 to 774 of the family's 1533-position model. Lineage: Bacteria; Deltaproteobacteria. The record is from RNAcentral.